This 275-nucleotide ribosomal RNA is filed under the name uncultured Comamonas sp. RNAcentral describes it as "partial 16S ribosomal RNA". It matches the Rfam family "Bacterial small subunit ribosomal RNA", at positions 8 to 287 of the family's 1533-position model. The record is from RNAcentral. Lineage: Bacteria; Pseudomonadati; Pseudomonadota; Betaproteobacteria; Burkholderiales; Comamonadaceae.
AGAGUUUGAUCAUGGCUCAGAUUGAACGCUGGCGGCAUGCUUUACACAUGCAAGUCGAACGGUAACAGGUCUUCGGAUGCUGACGAGUGGCGAACGGGUGAGUAAUACAUCGGAACGUGCCUGGUAGUGGGGGAUAACUACUCGAAAGAGUAGCUAAUACCGCAUGAGAUCUACGGAUGAAAGCAGGGGACCUUCGGGCCUUGUGCUACCAGAGCGGCUGAUGGCAGAUUAGGUAGUUGGUGAGGUAAAGGCUUACCAAGCCUGCGAUCUGUAGC